AUGCGCAUGUUAAAAGACAAAGACAGCCAAUGGUUGGAAUUCCUUCCAGUAUAUUCUUUUUUAGCAGCCAUUUCAUCACAGUAUUUAGUCCGCGGUAAAAUAAACGAGGAUCACCGACGACCUAUAUUACCAAGUAGUUUGGAUGUUAAAAACGCUUUUGAAAAACACAAAAUAAUAUCUGAUGGUCUUAUUCCGAGGGCACCGGAUAGAUUUAUGGUGGUAAAAUUUCGGAAUAAUAGCACGGUCGAAUUAGGAAAUUUUCUGACAUUCGAUGAAGCUUGGGAAAUUCCAGGUUUCAUUUAUUGGGAUGCUGAUCCUGGGUGUAUACAUACGUUAAUAUUCCUCAAUAUUGAUCAUCCGAAUGAAUUCUUCCCCAAAAACGCCAGUACCUUCAGUGGUUGGUGGGGAACAUCCCAGAGGCAAGGGUCGAAAAUGGGAGAAUAUUGUCAUCUUACUUGA
Molecule: long non-coding RNA, 459 nt
Filed under: Bemisia tabaci
Lineage: Eukaryota; Metazoa; Arthropoda; Insecta; Hemiptera; Aleyrodidae
Description: lncRNA ENSASIAIIG000114
Source: RNAcentral